UGCAUUUUUUCUUCUUGUUUUGAAACAUCUUGUUCAGGAAAAUUCUACCUCAAGAGACUCAGAAUUUGAUGAAAAAUAGUUAACAAAGUAGGAAUGAUCUUUAAGAAAAGCCAAAGGGUUGAUCUGGACAUGAUGAGUAUUACACAUAUAGCUACUCGUAGAAAGGAAAAUAUGAGGAAAUCAGGGUGGUAUGGGGCGAAGGCCGAGAAGAUUUUAACUAUUCCCUUCAAGAUGUCUUUGAAAUAGAGAUCGAGAGAUACAUGUACUGGUGUGGUAGUCCCCGACUAAUCCCCAUUGCAAUGUAUCAUUGCAGCCCUUGCAAGAUUUUCCUAAUGAAGAUUCUCAAGAUUACAGAUCCUCUAGCAAGGAGACCAGACAGAUAGAAAUGACCAGAGCAGAGGACACACAGCCCCCCC
Molecule: long non-coding RNA, 416 nt
Organism: Saccostrea cuccullata (small rock oyster)
Lineage: Eukaryota; Metazoa; Mollusca; Bivalvia; Ostreida; Ostreidae
Exons: 3
Source: RefSeq, a predicted model, not a curated record